Molecule: long non-coding RNA, 1422 nt
Filed under: Homo sapiens (human)
Lineage: Eukaryota; Metazoa; Chordata; Mammalia; Primates; Hominidae
Description: HSALNT0275629
Source: RNAcentral
AUAAUCAUCUUCCUUGUUCAGCAGAGGAGCCUGGUCCCAUUUUCCCCACUUUGUGAUGGGCUUCUCUCAGCGGUAGCUCAGCAGUUCCAGAUGGCAGUUUGGACCAGCAUCUAGGCUGGCCAGUUCGCUGUGUUUACUUAGAACCAACACGUUCAGAGCUGGCCUGGACCAUCUGAGGGGAACAGGAAACACCCCUAGGCUGUGGAAGCAAGUGCAGACCCCCACCCCCGGCCCUGAAGCCAAGGGGGCAGGGUUUGGGAGUGGCCAAAGAGAAGCAGUGCAGGGAUGGGUUUUCCUAGGGACAGGCUUAGCAUUCCUGACUCUAGGAAGAAGGAGCAGUGAGGCGGAGAAACAGUGGAGGGGAUGGUGGCAUUGGGCCCCAUGGGGCCGAGAUGGACACAGGGCUCGUUCUCUUGAGUCUGGUGCCAAGGACAGCUGAAGACGACAUCAUUUUCAGGUGGAGAGGAGAGAGUGGAGGGAGAUCAUGCCCUGUGAUGUGUCUUUUGCAGGUGAAGGUGGGAGACAAGGUCUCUGCUGACGAUGAGGCAGAGCCACCGUGAAAGUUGUAAUAGGAGGACUGCCCGCCGCUGGAAGGGCCUGCAGUGACGCUAGGACACCCUCUGCCUGCAUGUCACGUUAGCUGGGCUGGGCGAAGUAGAAGACCAAGGGGAAGAGGUGCAGUGGGGAGACCAGAUGCUCUCCCUUGAAUCGACUGGAAACAUGACACCGGUUCCAUGCUCUGGAACUGUCACCUGUGAUGUGCUGGGCUGUGUCCCAAGCACAGGAAUCCCAGCAGUUUCAGCUCGAUGCAGAACCACCAUGCUCCAGACACAGGCUUGGGAAAGACACGUCAAAAUUAAAAUACUAGGUAAGAGAAGCACCUGAUUGGGUAGAAGUUGGAGAGGAAUCCUGGAAUUUUGUGGCCAGAAGGAGCCACUGCCCCUUUUGUUUAGUAAGACUAGACAGUAACAGAAGCCAGUUGUCAGCUAUGAAAGUGGUGGGUGAAGCAGGGGAGGCUCCUCUAUGGUGGGACCCUGGACAAGGGAAGCCGAAUGUGUGAAGAAGGGGUGCGGGGGUGUGCGGUGCCCUAGGACACUAGGGCAAAGGUUUCAAACCUGGAACAAGGCACUGGAGGAAGAUCUGCUGCCAGUCAGCAGUGCGGGCCCUCGAGUUAGCAGUCCGUGCGCAGAGGGGCCAGUUCUGAGACCAGUUUGGAGAGUCAGGCAGUGACCCAUUGGCCAUGUCAUAAUUCCUUCAGCCUGCCUCCUCUUUAAUCCCAGAGAGUGCUCUUUCUUCAUACUUCCUUUAAAAUACUAAAUUGUUCCCAUUCCAUGGGGAGCUGGCUAGGCUUUACAGGCUAGGAAAUGUAGGUUUUCUGAGAUGGAACCAUCUACACAAGGAGGAGGAAGGCACUAAGACUAC